RNAcentral lists this non-coding RNA (213 nucleotides) under Streptomyces albus. The record is from RNAcentral. RNAcentral also lists the same sequence under 1 other name. Lineage: Bacteria; Bacillati; Actinomycetota; Actinomycetes; Kitasatosporales; Streptomycetaceae.
AGAGUGGCACCCGUAGCUGGUUCGCCCUGUCCGCCAGGCAGCGGCGUCGUAAGAGGGAACCCGGUGGGAAUCCGGGACUGCCCCGCAGCGGUGAGUGAGAACGACAGCCGUCACGUGCACUGGGCCCAUGGCCUGGGAAGCGACGGCCGGUAGGUGCCUGCCCCGGCAGGCGUGCUCGCGAGUCCGAAGACCUGCCCGCUGCCCGCGCGCCAC